This 465-nucleotide ribosomal RNA is filed under the name uncultured bacterium. Its description in RNAcentral is "partial 16S ribosomal RNA". It matches the Rfam family "Bacterial small subunit ribosomal RNA", at positions 28 to 507 of the family's 1533-position model. The record is from RNAcentral.
GACGAACGCUGGCGGCGUGCUUAACACAUGCAAGUCGAACGGAAAGGCCCUGCUUGCAGGGUACUCGAGUGGCGAACGGGUGAGUAACACGUGGGUGAUCUGCCCUGCACUUCGGGAUAAGCCUGGGAAACUGGGUCUAAUACCGGAUAGGAGCCAUUUUUAGUGUGAUGGUUGGAAAGUUUUUUCGGUGUAGGAUGAGCUCGCGGCCUAUCAGCUUGUUGGUGGGGUAAUGGCCUACCAAGGCGGCGACGGGUAGCCGGCCUGAGAGGGUGGGCGGCCACAUUGGGACUGAGAUACGGCACAGACGCCGACUGUAGGCAGCAGUGGGGAAUACUGCACCAGGGGCGCAAGGCUGAUGCAGCGAGGCCGCGUGGGGGAUGACGGCCUUCGGGUUGUAAACUCCUUGCGCUAGGGACGAAGCUUUUUGUGACGGUACCUAGAUAAGAAGCACCGGCUAACUACGUG